RNAcentral lists this ribosomal RNA (374 nucleotides) under uncultured eukaryote. RNAcentral's name for it is "partial 18S ribosomal RNA". It matches the Rfam family "Eukaryotic small subunit ribosomal RNA", at positions 592 to 976 of the family's 1831-position model. The record is from RNAcentral.
CAAGAGCGUAUGUAAAAGUUGUUGCAGUUAAAAAGCUCGUAGUUGAACCUUGGGUUUGGUUGGCCGGUCCGCUUUUUUGCGAGUACUGGAUUCAACCGAGCCUUUCCUUCUGGCUAACCAGUCGUUUCGGCGGCUGGCGAACCAGGAUUUUUACUUUGAGAAAAUUAGAGUGUUCAAAGCAGGCAUUAGCUUGAAUAUAUUAGCAUGGAAUAAUAGAAUAGGACGUAAUGGUUCUAUUUUGUUGGUUUCUAGGACCAUCGUAAUGAUUAAUAGGGACGGUCGGGGGCAUCAGUAUUCAGUUGUCAGAGGUGAAAUUCUUGGAUUUACUGAAGGCUAACUACUGCGAAAGCAUUUGCCAAGGACGUUUUCAUUAA